UCUGCGUUUUGCACAGCGGUCUCGCUAGAGAAAUCCAACUAGCGACGAGGGUUGCGCUCGUUGCGGGACUUAACCUGACACCUCACGGCACGAGCUGACGACAACCAUGCAGCACCUUGUAAAUUGUCUUGCGAAAGAUCUGUUUCCAAACCGGUCAAUCUACAUUUAAGCCUUGGUAAGGUUCCUCGCGUAUCAUCGAAUUAAACCACAUGCUCCACCGCUUGUGCGGGCCCCCGUCAAUUCCUUUGAGUUUCAGGCUUGCGCCCGUACUCCCCAGGUGGGAUACUUAUCACUUUCGCUUAGCCACUGAGGUUGCCCCCAACAGCUAGUAUCCAUCGUUUACGGCGUGGACUAC
Molecule: unclassified non-coding RNA, 355 nt
Filed under: uncultured Flavobacteriaceae bacterium
Lineage: Bacteria; Pseudomonadati; Bacteroidota; Flavobacteriia; Flavobacteriales; Flavobacteriaceae
Description: contains 16S-23S intergenic spacer region
Source: RNAcentral